RNAcentral lists this ribosomal RNA (763 nucleotides) under Bacillus sp. (in: firmicutes). RNAcentral describes it as "bacterial SSU rRNA". It matches the Rfam family "Bacterial small subunit ribosomal RNA", at positions 34 to 779 of the family's 1533-position model. Lineage: Bacteria; Bacillati; Bacillota; Bacilli; Caryophanales; Bacillaceae. The record is from RNAcentral.
UCUUCCCGGCGUGCCUAAUACAUGCAAGUCGAGCGUUUGGAUUCUAAGCUUGCUCUUAUGAAGUUACCUGGCGGACGGGUGAUUAACACGUGGGUAACCUGCCCAUAAGACUGGGAUAACUCCGGGAAACCGGGGCUAUUACCGGCUGAAAUUUUGCACUGCAGGGUUCGAACUUGAGGGGCGGUUUCUGCUGUCCUUAUGGAUGGACCCGCGUCACAUUAGCUACUUGGUGAGGUAACGGCUCACCACGCAACGUUGCGUUUUCGACCUGAGAGGGUGAUCUGGCACACUGGGACUGAUACACGGCCCACACUCCUACGGGAGGCCCCAGUAGGGAAUCUUCCGCAAUGGACGAAAGUCUGACGGAGCAACGCCGCGUGAGUGAUGAACGCUUUCUGGUCGUAAAACUCUGUUGUUAUCUACUAACAAGUGCUAUUUGACUAAUCUGGCACCUUGACGGUACCUAACCACAAAGCCACGGCUAACUACGUGCCAGAAGCCGCGGUAAUACCUACGUGGAAAGCGUUAUCCGGAAUUAUUGGGCGUAAAGCGCGCGCACGUGGUUUCUUAAAUCUGAUGUGAAAGCCCACGGCUCAACCGUGGAGGCACAUUGGAACCUGGGAGACUUGACUGCAGCAUAGGAUCGUGGCAUUCCAUGUGUAGCGAUGAAAUGCGUAUAGAUAUGGAGGAACACUAGUGGCUAAGGCGACUUUCUGGUCUGUAACUGACACUGACGCGCGAACGCGUGCGAAAAAAAAGGAUU